This 114-nucleotide ribosomal RNA is filed under the name Caerostris darwini. The record is from RNAcentral. Lineage: Eukaryota; Metazoa; Arthropoda; Arachnida; Araneae; Araneidae.
AACGGCCAUACCAUGCUGAAUAUACCGGUUCUCGUUAGAUCACCGAUGUCUUAAGCAUCAUUGGGCGUGGUCAGUACUUGGGUGGAUGACCACCUGGGAACACCGCGUGCCGUU